RNAcentral lists this small nuclear RNA (275 nucleotides) under Microtus ochrogaster (prairie vole). Its description in RNAcentral is "7SK RNA (ENSMOCG00000010305.1)". It matches the Rfam family "7SK RNA". Rfam says of the family: 7SK was discovered as an abundant small nuclear RNA in the mid-70s but a possible function has only recently been suggested. Two independent studies have found that 7SK RNA binds the CDK9/cyclin T complex (known as elongation factor P-TEFb). Lineage: Eukaryota; Metazoa; Chordata; Mammalia; Rodentia; Cricetidae. The record is from RNAcentral.
AGAUGUGAGGGUGAUCUGGCUGCAAAACCUGUCAUCUUAUUGGUCACCAGGCAGGUGUCCCCUUCCUCCUUCACCACUCUGGGUGUCCUACCUGAAGCAGCAGGCUGGGCUGAAGGAAACAACCUUUCGUGGAGGCAGAGGAGGGGUGGUACCUGGUCAAGGCUCUAGAGUAGCUAUGCGCACCUGCUGGAACCUCUGGCCUCACAGAAGAGCUCCAGCAAGCACCACUUCCAAAACAGGAAAAAAAUAAAAAAGAAAAAGAAGCCCUAACAUUU